AUGUCUACCAUACUCCUGAAUUUGGACUUUGGGGGACCUUUGAAAAAGGCAUUUGGAGGAAAUGCCAAACAUCAACGUUUUGUCAAGAAGCAACGGUUCUUGGAACAGAAAGGAUUUCUGAAUAAAAAGAACCAACCCCCUAGCAAGGUGUCUAAGUUGAACUCAGAACCUCCAAAGAAAGGGGAAACUUCAAGAGUAGAUGGCAUUUUGAGGAUCCUUCCAUGCCCAAAGAAGACGAAAGAGGCAGCUGCCUCAGAGCAUUCCAAAGACAAGAAAGCAUCAUUGUCUUGGCUGACCCCUGCUCCUUCAAAGAAGACUGAUUCUGUUGUCGCUAAAAUAGAUUUGCUGGGGGAGUUUCAGAGUACCCUUCCAAAGACUAAGAGCCACCCAUCUCCCAUCCAGAAGGCUCAGUCAAAGAAUAAAAGCUCCAAGAAGAAUCCCUUGAAGAAAAAUACUGUACAGAACUCCACCCAAGCUCGUUCCGAGGAUAAGUGCCCUAAAGUCUCCCAAAACUUGCCAGGGAAGAUGGCGGCAAUAGACUGUGAAAUGGUGGGCACAGGACCCAAGGCACAUGUCAGUUCCUUGGCCCAAUGCAGCACUGUGAAUUACAAUGGGGCCGUGCUUCAUGAUGAGUGCAUCCUCCCCACCCGCCCCCAUAUCAUACUGGACCAGGUAGAGUGGCAUUCAGAAGGGCCACAUGGUUAGUGCUACACCCUGUAAGACUGCUCGGAGUCAGAUCUUGAAGCUACUCUCUGGGAAGGUAGCAGUAGGGCAUGCCGUUCACAAUGACUACAAAGCCCAAGUCCUUCACCCGAGACACUUCCCAGAUACCACUCCUCAACCGGAAGGCUGACUGCCCAGAAAAUGUCACUUUGUCACUGAAACAUCUUACCAAGAAACUGCUGAAUCGGGACAUCCAGGCUGGAAAAAGUGGACAUUCCUCGGUGGAAGAUGCCCAGGCCACAAUGGAGCUAUACAAGUUGGUUGAAGUCGAAUGGGAACAACACCUGGGCCAGAAUCCCCCAGAAAAUUAGCAUUCCCAGGGAGAAACAUGCAGUAGACCAACCCACAGUUCUGCAGCUUCUCGCCUGUAGAAGCUAGAAUCAUUGGGGAGAGGGGCUUGACCAGAGACACAAUACCCACUGAAAUUUCAUCUCAGCUAUUGUGGUCACUGUAUGGUUAAGUGUCUCAUGGAAGAGGAAAACCUUCAUGUUAAAACCCACCUCUAGGUCAGGCAGGUGGCCCACCUGUAAUCCCAGAUAC
Non-coding RNA from Arvicanthis niloticus (Nile rat), 1263 nucleotides. The record is from RefSeq and is a predicted model, not a curated record. NCBI's taxonomy places the organism in Eukaryota, Metazoa, Chordata, Mammalia, Rodentia, Muridae.